Molecule: ribosomal RNA, 253 nt
Filed under: uncultured bacterium
Lineage: Bacteria
Description: partial 16S ribosomal RNA
Rfam family: Bacterial small subunit ribosomal RNA
Source: RNAcentral
UACAGAGGUGGCAAGCGUUGUUCGGAAUUACUGGGCGUAAAGGGCGCGUAGGCGGUCUUGUAAGUCUUGUGUGAAAUCCCUCGGCUCAACUGAGGAACUGCACGGGAUACUGCGAGACUUGAGUUCGGGAGAGGGAAGCGGAAUUCCGGGUGUAGCGGUGAAAUUCGUAGAUAUUGGGAAGAACACCAGUGGCGAAGGCGGCUAACUGGUCCGAUACUGACGCUGAGGUGCGAAAGCGUGGGGAGCAAACAGG